Molecule: ribosomal RNA, 495 nt
Filed under: uncultured bacterium
Lineage: Bacteria
Description: partial 16S ribosomal RNA
Rfam family: Bacterial small subunit ribosomal RNA
Source: RNAcentral
GACGAACGCUGGCGGCGUGCCUAAUACAUGCAAGUAGAACGCUGAAGGAGGAGCUUGCUCUUCUGGAUGAGUUGCGAACGGGUGAGUAACGCGUAGGUAACCUGCCUGGUAGCGGGGGAUAACUAUUGGAAACGAUAGCUAAUACCGCAUAACAGUAGAUGUUGCAUGACAUUUGCUUAAAAGGUGCAAUUGCACCACUACCAGAUGGACCUGCGUUGUAUUAGCUAGUUGGUGGGGUAACGGCUCACCAAGGCGACGAUACAUAGCCGACCUGAGAGGGUGAACGGCCACACUGGGACUGGGACACGGCCCAGGCUCCUACGGGAGGCAGCAGUAGGGAAUCUUCGGCAAUGGACGGAAGUCUGACCGAGCAACGCCGCGUGAGGGAAGAAGGUUUUCGGAUCGUAAAGCUCUGUUGUAAGAGAAGAACGAGUGUGAGGGUGGAAAGUUCACACUGUGACGGUAUCUUACCAGAAAGGGACGGCUAACUACGUG